This 253-nucleotide ribosomal RNA is filed under the name uncultured bacterium. RNAcentral describes it as "partial 16S ribosomal RNA". It matches the Rfam family "Bacterial small subunit ribosomal RNA", at positions 524 to 776 of the family's 1533-position model. The record is from RNAcentral.
UACGUAGGGACCAAGCGUUGCCCGGAAUCAUUGGGCGUAAAGAGCGCGUAGGCGGCUUGUUAAGUCUUGCGUGAAAUCUCGGGGCUCAACCCCGAGCGGUCGUGAGAAACUGGCAGGCUAGAGUGCGGGAGAGGAGAGUGGAAUUCCUGGUGUAGCGGUGAAAUGCGCAGAUAUCAGGAAGAACACCCGUGGCGAAGGCGGCUCUCUGGAACGCAACUGACGCUGAGACGCGAAAGCGUGGGGAGCAAACAGG